GCUCCGUUGGUGAACCAGCGAAGGGAUCAUUACCGAGUUUACAACUCCCAAACCCCUAUGUGAACGUUACCAAACUGUUGCCUCGGCGGGAAAUUCAUGCCCCGGGCGCGUCGCAGCCCCGGACCAAGGCGCCCGCCGGAGGACCAACCAAAACUCUUUUGUAUGUCCCUCGCGGACUUUUAUAAUUCUGAACCAUCUCGGCGCCCCUAGCGGGCGUUUCGAAAAUGAAUCAAAACUUUCAACAACGGAUCUCUUGGUUCUG
Molecule: unclassified non-coding RNA, 262 nt
Filed under: plant metagenome
Description: partial contains small subunit ribosomal RNA, internal transcribed spacer 1, and 5.8S ribosomal RNA
Source: RNAcentral